RNAcentral lists this ribosomal RNA (88 nucleotides) under Cycas circinalis. The record is from RNAcentral. Lineage: Eukaryota; Viridiplantae; Streptophyta; Cycadopsida; Cycadales; Cycadaceae.
UCCCAUCAGAACUCCGCAGUUAAGCGUGCUUGGGUUGGAGUAGUACUAAGUUGGGUGACCACUUGGGAACUCCUAAUAUUGCACCCUU